CUGCUGCCUCCCGUAGGAGUUUGGUCCGUGUCUCAGUACCAAUGUGGGGGGUUGACCUCUCAGUCCCCCUAUGUAUCGUCGCCUUGGUGAGCCGUUACCUCACCAACUAGCUAAUACAACGCAUGUCCAUCUCUGACCACCUGAGUUUUCGACCACCGAAGAUGCCUCCGGUGAUGUUAUGGGGUAUUAGUACCAAUUUCUCGAUGUUAUCCCCCUGUCAAAGGUAGGUUACGUACGCGUUACGCACCCGUCCGCCGGUCGCCGGCA
This 267-nucleotide ribosomal RNA is filed under the name uncultured bacterium. RNAcentral describes it as "partial 16S ribosomal RNA". The record is from RNAcentral.